Molecule: long non-coding RNA, 1083 nt
Filed under: Mus spicilegus (steppe mouse)
Lineage: Eukaryota; Metazoa; Chordata; Mammalia; Rodentia; Muridae
Description: lncRNA (ENSMSIG00000002316.1)
Source: RNAcentral
GCGGCCGGACUGGCGGCUGUUGCUAAGAGACCGGAGCCAUGACACAGGGAAAUUGCGGCAGGAUGGCAGUAGGUACCCGGCCCGGCUUGGCUCUCAGGGGGGCACCCGCCCCCCGCCCCGCCCCCUCUACCCCCAGCCCCUCCCCCGCCUCCUCUCCAGCCUGCCGUCCGUCCCUUCGACAGCGACUUGUCCCCCUUCCCAAGAGGGGCACCAGGGGAGGCGACACCUGCACGGCGUGCUUGAACCAGGUCGGGGCGGGAUCGCGUAAGGCAAGGUGCUGAACGCAGCUGAAACGCCUUCAGCCUCAGCUGACAGCUUGGUUCUUUUUCCCCAACUACCUGUCUGAGCACCGAACCCAAGAGGAUCCAGAGAAACGCCAGCCCCUCCCAGGGAGUCCCCCAUCAGGAUCUGAGUGAUGCUGUCCCUGAAGACAGGGAUUAUUCUUCAGGUCUCUGUUCCCUCAGGCUCCCAUCCUCUCUGCUCUCCCUUUUUCUUAUUACAGUGCACACAGCCUCGCCCCCUACCCCACCUACACUUGAGAGUUUGCAGCGUGGAUGCCCCAAGAACACAACUGUUCUGUUUAAAGGCUUACUCUAGGAGAAUGAAAACCAACAGGACGCACUACUUCGUUUCCUCAGCCAUGAAGGAAUGGAAGGAAGGACUUGGAGUGUCACAGCUGAACCCACAAGGGAGGACUGCCAGCCAACUUGGAGUCUAGAAGCUGUGCUCCUCAGCUUGGACUUCAGGGCUCCAUCAGCAGUGCUGGUUCCUUGACUUUCUGUUCCCAUCUCUACUGGCCUGUGGGGACACUGGGGUUUUGAUGGUUUCUAUAUGUUUGGUGGUCCGGGGAGUGGCAUGAUUAGAAGGUAUGGCCCUGUUGGAGUAGGAGUGACCCUGUGGGUGUGGGCUAUAAGACCCUUAUCCUAGCUGCCUGGAAGUCAGUAUUCUGCUAGUGACCUUCAGAUGAAGAUGUAGAACUCUCAGCUCCUCCUGCACCCUGCCUGCCUGGAUGCUGCAAUGCUCCCACCUUGAUGAUAAUGGACUGAACCUCUGAACCUGUAAGCCAGUCGCAAUUAAAUGUUG